RNAcentral lists this ribosomal RNA (45 nucleotides) under Hymenochaete sp. RNAcentral's name for it is "partial 18S ribosomal RNA". The record is from RNAcentral. Lineage: Eukaryota; Fungi; Basidiomycota; Agaricomycetes; Hymenochaetales; Hymenochaetaceae.
CAAGGUUUCCGUAGGUGAACCUGCGGAAGGAUCAUUACUGAGGUU